This 230-nucleotide ribosomal RNA is filed under the name uncultured bacterium. RNAcentral describes it as "partial 16S ribosomal RNA". It matches the Rfam family "Bacterial small subunit ribosomal RNA", at positions 563 to 791 of the family's 1533-position model. The record is from RNAcentral.
AAGGGUGCGUAGGCGGGCCUGUUAAGUCAGAGGUGAAAGACGGUAGCUCAACUAUCGCAGUGCCUUUGAUACUGAUGGGCUUGAAUGGACUAGAGGUAGGCGGAAUGAGACAAGUAGCGGUGAAAUGCAUAGAUAUGUCUCAGAACACCGAUUGCGAAGGCAGCUUACUAUGGUUUUAUUGACGCUGAGGCACGAAAGCGUGGGGAUCAAACAGGAUUAGAUACCCCAGU